Molecule: ribosomal RNA, 506 nt
Filed under: uncultured bacterium
Lineage: Bacteria
Description: partial 16S ribosomal RNA
Rfam family: Bacterial small subunit ribosomal RNA
Source: RNAcentral
AGUGAACGCUGGCGGUAGGCCUAACACAUGCAAGUCGAACGGCAGCACAGGAGAGCUUGCUCUCUGGGUGGCGAGUGGCGGACGGGUGAGGAAUACAUCGGAAUCUACUCUGUCGUGGGGGAUAACGUAGGGAAACUUACGCUAAUACCGCAUACGACCUACGGGUGAAGGCAGGGGACCUUCGGGCCUUGCGCGAUUGAAUGAGCCGAUGUCGGAUUAGCUAGUUGGCGGGGUAAAGGCCCACCAAGGCGACGAUCCGUAGCUGGUCUGAAAGGAUGAGCAGCCACACUGGAACUGAGACACGAGCCAGGCUACUACGGGAGGCAGCAGUGGGGAAUAUUGGACAAUGGGCGCAAGCCUGAUCCAGCCAUACCGCGUGGGUGAAGAAGGCCUUCGGGUUGUAAAGCCCUUUUGUUGGGAAAGAAAUCCAGCUGGCUAAUACCCGGUUGGGAUGACGGUACCCAAAGAAUAAGCACCGGCUAACUUCGUGCCAGCCGCCGCAGUAA